RNAcentral lists this ribosomal RNA (415 nucleotides) under Melayonchis siongkiati. RNAcentral's name for it is "partial 16S ribosomal RNA". It matches the Rfam family "Bacterial large subunit ribosomal RNA", at positions 1881 to 2599 of the family's 2925-position model. Lineage: Eukaryota; Metazoa; Mollusca; Gastropoda; Systellommatophora; Onchidiidae. The record is from RNAcentral.
AGUGAUUUUUAUAUUUUCAACGGCCGCAGUACUUUGACUGUGCUAAGGUAGCGUAAUCAGUUGGCUUUUAAAUGGAGUCGAGAAUGAAGGGGUUUUCGGGAACUAGCUGUCUCUAUUAAGUUAACUUUAACUUACUUAAAGGGUGAAAAUUCCCUUUUGAAGAAAAAAGACGAGAAGACCCUAAGAGUUUUAAUUAAGCUAGCACAUAUGUGUGGGAAGUUUUUGCUGGGGCGGCAAAGAGACAAAAUUGUAAACCCUCUUGUUUAAUUUUUAGUGGACGUAUAUAAAAAGUAACAAUAAACUACCUUAGGGAUAACAGCAUAAUUUACUGUAAGUUUGUGACCUCGAUGUUGGACUAGGGACUUUACGGCUAGCAGUCGCAAGAGCAGGUUCUGUUCGAACUACCCUCCCCUAC